RNAcentral lists this ribosomal RNA (460 nucleotides) under uncultured bacterium. Its description in RNAcentral is "partial 16S ribosomal RNA". It matches the Rfam family "Bacterial small subunit ribosomal RNA", at positions 338 to 795 of the family's 1533-position model. The record is from RNAcentral.
CCUACGGGCGGCAGCAGUGAGGAAUAUUGGUCAAUGGCCGUGAGACUGAACCAGCCAAGUCGCGUGAGGGAAGACUGCCCUAUGUAUUGUAAACCUCUUUUAUGCGGGGAUAAAGGUUUCCACGUGUGGCUGUUUGCAUGUACCGCAUGAAUAAGGACCGGCUAAUUCCGUUCCAGCAGCCGCGGUAAUACGGAAGGUCCGGGCGUUAUCCGGCUUUAUUGGGUUUAAAGGGAGCGUAGGCCGGUCUUUAAGCUUGCCGUGAAAUGUUGUGGGUCAAACAUGAGAGUGCGGAGGGAACUGGAGACCUUGAGUGGGCGGAAGGUAGGCGGAAUUCGUGGUGUAGCGGUGAAAUGCUUAGAUAUCACGAAGAACCCCGAUUGCGAAGGCAGCCUGCCGCAGCGUUACUGACGCUGAAGCACGAAAGCGCGGGUAUCGAACAGGAUUAGAUACCCUUGUAGUC